RNAcentral lists this long non-coding RNA (1134 nucleotides) under Vitis vinifera (wine grape). RNAcentral describes it as "long non-coding RNA (VVIN_LNC002709)". The record is from RNAcentral. Lineage: Eukaryota; Viridiplantae; Streptophyta; Magnoliopsida; Vitales; Vitaceae.
UGUUGCGGCUGCUGUUGCUGGUUCAUGUAAAGAUUCAUCCCCGUCAUCAGCUUUGGGGGUCCCAUUGGCCCCAUUCCUGUUCUCUGCAUUGGGUUCAUAGGACGGUGCAGAUUCUGGCCCAGCAUUGAAAGACCAGUAGAACCUGGGUGUGAGUGCAUCUGUCUGGUUCCUGUCAUGCCAGCUAUGCCUGCCUGACGGCCACCUAAAAUUGCUGGGUUCAACAUUCUAAUUUUUGCCGCCAUUGUGCCUAAUUGUGGAUUCCGAAAUUGUUGACCUAGCAUAUUGGUAACACUUGAAGCCUGAUUCAGAUUCAUUGCAUUCUGACCCACAUUGCCCAUGCUAGAGAUAGACCCCAUUGGUGCUGAAAUUCCAGUACUUCCCAUACCCCUUGCACCCCCAAUGCCCAUGACAUUGCCCAAACCUUGGAGGCUUGCAAUGUUAUUGCCCAUGUUUCCCAUAUUCACAGCUGUUCCAAGUCCCAUCAUCAUUUUCCUCUGCAUUGGCUGCUGCUGUUGUUGCUGCUGCUGCUGCUGCUGCUGCUGCUGUUGCUGCUGCUGCUGCUGCUGCUGUUGCUGCUGCUGCUGCUGCUGCUGCUGUUGCUGUUGCUGUAACAUCUGGAGUUGGAGAGUGGCGGAAGGCUUGUUGACCAUGUGAUUGCCCAACUGCAUGUUUGAAUUCUGUCCCAUUGCACUUAGGUGUGAGAGUGGAUUUGUUGGAAGCAUAAGAGAUGAUCUCUGGAACUGAGAAUGCUGCUGUUGAAUCAAAGACUGUGGAUUCUGCUGCUGUGGCUGCUGAAGUGGUUGUGGAUUGAGCUGUUGUGGCCUGGUAGGCAAGGAAACCCCAGUCAAGAGUCCUUGCGAUAUCUGUAAUGCUUGAGCAUUUCCAGGAGGUAGCAUCCUUGAGUUUGCUAGAAGAUUCUGGGAUGCGUUUAAGGGUGUAUUGCCACUAUUAGUCGGUUUUGCCACUUCAUUGUGAGGCUGACCUGAAGCUGUUUCUGAAUAUUGCUGCAUCUCAGCUGCCGAAUUAUUAGGAGAGAUUCCAGGAGCAUUAGAUUGAUUGCUUGAGGCAAGAUUCAUGCGAGCUGGCUUUGGUUGGACACGAUCCUCCAUAAGAUGAUAUCCUUCACGGUUCAUC